ACAUCGAAUGAUGAUCCGAAGCCGGAUACCGACAAGGUCAAAUAUAAUCCAAAGGAGGACACUGACAAGGUGUUGAAAGAUAAUCCUAAGGAGAAGGAGAAGGAUAAUCCAAAGGAGAAGGAGAAGGAGAAGGAGAAGGAUAAUCCAAAGGAGAAGGAGAAGGAUAAUCCGAAGGAGAAGGAGAAGGAGAAGGAUAAUCCAAGGGAGAAGGAGAAGGAGAAGCAGGAGAGCUGCGCUGGGGUAACCAAAAUCAAAACAUGUGCGGUCAAGGAUGUGGCAGUUGCUUGCAUUAAGAACUUCAGUAGUG
Molecule: long non-coding RNA, 307 nt
Filed under: Malus domestica (apple)
Lineage: Eukaryota; Viridiplantae; Streptophyta; Magnoliopsida; Rosales; Rosaceae
Description: long non-coding RNA (MDOM_LNC011598)
Source: RNAcentral